Long non-coding RNA from Toxorhynchites rutilus septentrionalis, 867 nucleotides. RefSeq lists it as uncharacterized. The record is from RefSeq and is a predicted model, not a curated record. The transcript is spliced from 3 exons. Lineage: Eukaryota; Metazoa; Arthropoda; Insecta; Diptera; Culicidae.
UUUUCCAUCUCGGUACCAGCAAACUCUACUCGCCAUGUGUGAAACGUUGAAACAUCAAAUCAAAACAUCAUUUUGUGGCCAUCUUGGAAGUCUUCUGGUGCUUUUGGUGCAUGGUUCGUGAACAGCUAAUAUGUAGGAAAUGAGCAUUUUCAACCUAAAGCCACUGGACGUAUAAUUUUUUGCGUCUCAGUUGCCGUUAUUCCAGUACCAUUAUUAGCCUCGUGGCUCUAGAAGUGUUUUCGUCUUAACGGGUUUUUGAAGAGGAUUUUGUCCCUAACGGCGGAAAGAGGGACAUUUUUACAGUGGACGCUCUAACAUACACCGGUGAUAGUGAGGAGACAAUAGGAACCGGUCGCAUAAUAUACGCACUGCGUGAACAGCUAUAAUUACAUAGCUGAUAUCACAUACGAAAUGACAGUAACCGAAACAACACUCGAACGCAUUCCUACAUCGGAAGGCAUUUCUUCCGGGCACGAGUCAGCUCACCCGAUCAAGCCCCAGAAGAUGCACCUGGAAUCAGACCGCAGGUUGCUCUUUUUCGCAAACGGGAUUGUUACCCAUAAGAACAUUAUAAUGGGGUAUAGUGUAUCCAAUACUUCCCACGACGCGAAAAUCGCGGGUGUGAUAACCGGAGCGGGUCUGACGUGCGAAACAAUUAUGAGUGAAGGAGUUGAGAAGUUAAAAAAAACUCCCCUGGAGGAUUGUUGACAUCAUGGACUGUCGGUUUCUAAACUCCUGUGGAGAAAUCGGUUUUCAUAGUUCUAAUUCUAAUCUUAAGUCUCAAGCAAAAAUGUAAAUACGUUAAAACAAAUUUGGCUUCCUAAAACCAACGGAGCCAGUACAAAUAAAUUAAUUUGAAAAAUAAAA